UACAUGGUCUCUUUAGAGACCAUCUUUUUUGAAAAUUAGAAAAAUU
Molecule: non-coding RNA, 46 nt
Organism: Amborella trichopoda
Lineage: Eukaryota; Viridiplantae; Streptophyta; Magnoliopsida; Amborellales; Amborellaceae
Source: Rfam